Molecule: ribosomal RNA, 656 nt
Filed under: uncultured bacterium
Lineage: Bacteria
Description: bacterial SSU rRNA
Rfam family: Bacterial small subunit ribosomal RNA
Source: RNAcentral
CGCGGCCUAUCAGCUUGUUGGUGGGGUAACGGCCUACCAAGGCGAUUACGGGUAGCCGGCCUGAGAGGGCGACCGGCCACACUGGGACUGAGACACGGCCCAGACUCCUGCGGGAGGCAGCAGUGGGGAAUAUUGCGCAAUGGGCGAAAGCCUGACGCAGCGACGCCGCGUGGGGGGUGACGGCCUUCGGGUUGUAAACCUCUUUUACCACCAACGCAGGCUCCGGGUUUUCUCGGGGUUGACGGUAGGUGGGGAAUAAGGACCGGCUAACUACGUGCCAGCAGCCGCGGUAAUACGUAGGGUCCGAGCGUUGUCCGGAAUUAUUGGGCGUAAAGAGCUCGUAGGCGGCGUGUCGCGUCUGCUGUGAAAGACCGGGGCUUAACUCCGGUUCUGCAGUGGAUACGGGCAUGCUAGAGGUAGGUAGGGGAGACUGGAAUUCCUGGUGUAGCGGUGAAAUGCGCAGAUAUCAGGAGGAACACCGGUGGCGAAGGCGGGUCUCUGGGCCUUACCUGACGCUGAGGAGCGAAAGCAUGGGGAGCGAACAGGAUUAGAUACCCUGGUAGUCCAUGCCGUAAACGUUGGGCGCUAGGUGUGGGGACUUUCCACGGUUUCCGCGCCGUAGCUAACGCAUUAAGCGCCCGCCUGGGGAGUACGGA